This 252-nucleotide ribosomal RNA is filed under the name uncultured bacterium. Its description in RNAcentral is "partial 16S ribosomal RNA". It matches the Rfam family "Bacterial small subunit ribosomal RNA", at positions 525 to 776 of the family's 1533-position model. The record is from RNAcentral.
ACGAACCGGACGAACGUUAUUCGGAAUUACUGGGCUUAAAGAGUACGUAGGCGGCUUGGUAGGUUGGGUGUGAAAUCCCACAGCUCAACUGUGGAACUGCGCUCAAAACCACCAGGCUUGAGGGAGACAGGGGUAAGCGGAACUGAUGGUGGAGCGGUGAAAUGCGUUGAUAUCAUCAGGAACACCGGUGGCGAAGGCGGCUUACUGGGUCUUUUCUGACGCUGAGGUACGAAAGCUAGGGUAGCGAACGGG